RNAcentral lists this ribosomal RNA (490 nucleotides) under uncultured cyanobacterium. Its description in RNAcentral is "bacterial SSU rRNA". It matches the Rfam family "Bacterial small subunit ribosomal RNA", at positions 28 to 563 of the family's 1533-position model. The record is from RNAcentral. Lineage: Bacteria; Bacillati; Cyanobacteriota.
GAUGAACGCUGGCGGUCUGCUUAACACAUGCAAGUCGAACGCAACCUUCGGGUUGAGUGGCGGACGGGUGAGUAACGCGUGAGAAUCUGCCUUGGGGUCGGGGACAACCACUGGAAACGGUGGCUAAUACCGGAUAAGCCUUUGGGUAAAAAAUCUAUUGCCCCAAGAGGAGCUCGCGUCUGAUUAGCUAGUUGGUGAGGUAAGAGCUCACCAAGGCAGCGAUCAGUAGCUGGUCUGAGAGGACGAUCAGCCACACUGGGACUGAGACACGGCCCAGACUCCUACGGGAGGCAGCAGUGGGGAAUUUUCCGCAAUGGGCGAAAGCCUGACGGAGCAAGACCGCGUGAGGGAGGAAGGCUCUUGGGUUGUAAACCUCUUUUCUCAGGGAAGAAGCUCUGUCGGUACCUGAGGAAUCAGCCUCGGCUAACUCCGUGCCAGCAGCCGCGGUAAUACGGAGGAGGCAAGCGUUAUCCGGAAUUAUUGGGCGUAA